This 253-nucleotide ribosomal RNA is filed under the name uncultured bacterium. RNAcentral describes it as "partial 16S ribosomal RNA". It matches the Rfam family "Bacterial small subunit ribosomal RNA", at positions 524 to 776 of the family's 1533-position model. The record is from RNAcentral.
GACGGGGGAUGCAAGUGUUAUCCGGAAUCACUGGGCGUAAAGCGCACGUAGGCGGACUCUUAAGUCGGUGGUGAAAUCCUGGAGCUCAACUCCAGAACUGCCUUCGAUACUGAGAGUCUCGAGUCCGGGAGAGGUGAGUGGAACUGCGAGUGUAGAGGUGAAAUUCGUAGAUAUUCGCAAGAACACCAGUGGCGAAGGCGGCUCACUGGCCCGGUACUGACGCUGAGGUGCGAAAGCGUGGGGAGCAAACAGG